This is a small nuclear RNA of Dipodomys spectabilis (banner-tailed kangaroo rat), 103 nucleotides long. The record is from RefSeq and is a predicted model, not a curated record. Lineage: Eukaryota; Metazoa; Chordata; Mammalia; Rodentia; Heteromyidae.
GUACUUGCUUUGGUAGCACAUAUACUAACAUCAGAAUGAAAGAAGAUUAGCAUGGCCCCUGCACAAAGAUGACAUGCAAAUUCAUGAAAUGUUCCAUAUUUUU